UACGGAGGAUGCAAGCGUUAUCCGGAAUGAUUGGGCGUAAAGCGUCCGCAGGUGGCAAUGUAAGUCUGCUGUCAAAGCGUCUGGCUCAACCAGAUAAAGGCAGUGGAAACUACAUAGCUAGAGUAAGGUAGGGGUAGAGGGAAUUCCUGGUGUAGCGGUGAAAUGCGUAGAGAUCAGGAAGAACACCGGUGGCGAAAGCGGUCGACUGGUCGAGUUCUGACACUGAGGCGCGACGGCGUGGGGAGCAAACCGG
This 253-nucleotide ribosomal RNA is filed under the name uncultured bacterium. RNAcentral describes it as "partial 16S ribosomal RNA". It matches the Rfam family "Bacterial small subunit ribosomal RNA", at positions 524 to 776 of the family's 1533-position model. The record is from RNAcentral.